AUUGGUUAUGCAUGUACGUUUACAAAAAGCCUCACCAACUAAUUGUAAUACUCAGACAACAAAUAAGAACCAUCACAAGAAAUUCAAUAAACCGAUCUGAAAAUGAAAUAUUCAUUUGCCCCUCUAACCUGCUUCAAUGAUAUAAAUCAGUAAAUGCAAGCAUCAGCUGAUUCUGUAUCAUCUCACAAAUGUUAAAUUACAAGUAGAACAAAUAAAACAUCUGUUACUGCACAUUCAAUGUCUUCACAAGCUGGCAAGUUUGGGAAGGCGUUGGAAAUUCUUGAUGGCACGGCUCAUCCACUACCCUUUCUGGAAGAAAGAAGAAAAUCUAGAGCCAAAUUUUGGUAAACACACCAGACUAGAGGUUGUCUCUCAGCCAUUUUAGAGCACUGUUUGCAACGGAAUACACAUCUGAAGAACAGAAUACUCUACACAUGAAAACAGACUCCAUAUAUAAUCUCGAGAGCUUAGAGUAUAUGAUAGGGAAGGGAAGCGACCCUAAAAACAAAGUUCCACUGAAGUUUAUAAGAAAAUGAGUUUGGAACUAUCUAUUCGGCUCUUGAAAUGUCUAAACCACAAUGGAUAGUGAUUAGAGCUGAGGUAGUGUUUGGUUGCUCUCCCCAAAAAGUUGACACAAAAUUAAUGGGUG
RNAcentral lists this long non-coding RNA (649 nucleotides) under Prunus dulcis (almond). Its description in RNAcentral is "sRNA ncRNA". The record is from RNAcentral. Lineage: Eukaryota; Viridiplantae; Streptophyta; Magnoliopsida; Rosales; Rosaceae.